GGCCUGUAGCUUAGUGGUAGAGCGCUUGCCUAGCAUGCUAUGAGGAACUGGGUUCGAUCCUCAGCAUCA
This 69-nucleotide transfer RNA is filed under the name Marmota monax (woodchuck). RNAcentral describes it as "tRNA.Ala". The record is from RNAcentral. Lineage: Eukaryota; Metazoa; Chordata; Mammalia; Rodentia; Sciuridae.